CGCGUGGGAACAUACCCUCCGGUUCGGAAUAGCUCAGGGAAACUUGGAUUAAUACCGGAUACGGCCUGGCGGCGAAAGAUUUAUCGCCGGAGGAUUGGCCCGCGUUCGAUUAGCUAGUUGGCGAGGUAACGGCUCACCAAGGCGACGAUCGAUAGCUGGUCUGAGAGGAUGAUCAGCCACAUUGGGACUGAGACACGGCCCAAACUCCUACGGGAGGCAGCAGUGGGGAAUAUUGGACAAUGGGCGCAAGCCUGAUCCAGCCAUGCCGCGUGAGUGAUGAAGGCCUUAGGGUUGUAAAGC
RNAcentral lists this ribosomal RNA (300 nucleotides) under uncultured Methylocystaceae bacterium. RNAcentral describes it as "bacterial SSU rRNA". It matches the Rfam family "Bacterial small subunit ribosomal RNA", at positions 114 to 431 of the family's 1533-position model. Lineage: Bacteria; Pseudomonadati; Pseudomonadota; Alphaproteobacteria; Hyphomicrobiales; Methylocystaceae. The record is from RNAcentral.